Molecule: ribosomal RNA, 450 nt
Filed under: uncultured bacterium
Lineage: Bacteria
Description: partial 16S ribosomal RNA
Rfam family: Bacterial small subunit ribosomal RNA
Source: RNAcentral
GUGGGGAAUUUUGGACAAUGGGCGCAAGCCUGAUCCAGCAAUGCCGCGUGCAGGAAGAAGGCCUUCGGGUUGUAAACUGCUUUUGUACGGAACGAAACGGUCCUGGCUAAUACCUGGGGCUAAUGACGGUACCGUAAGAAUAAGCACCGGCUAACUACGUGCCAGCAGCCGCGGUAAUACGUAGGGUGCGAGCGUUAAUCGGAAUUACUGGGCGUAAAGCGUGCGCAGGCGGUGCUGUAAGACAGGCGUGACAUCCCCGGGCUCAACCUGGGAAUUGGUCUUGUGAAUGCAGUGCUGGAGUGCUGCAGAGGGGGAUGGAAUUCCGCGUGUAGCAGUGAAAUGCGUAGAUAUGCGGAGGAACACCGAUGGCGAAGGCAAUCCCCUGGGCCUGCACUGACGCUCAUGCACGAAAGCGUGGGGAGCAAACAGGAUUAGAAACCCUGGUAGUCC